RNAcentral lists this ribosomal RNA (470 nucleotides) under uncultured bacterium. Its description in RNAcentral is "bacterial SSU rRNA". It matches the Rfam family "Bacterial small subunit ribosomal RNA", at positions 26 to 518 of the family's 1533-position model. The record is from RNAcentral.
AGGACGAACGCUGGCGGCGUGCUUAACACAUGCAAGUUGAACGGUAUGACAUGGAAGCUUGCUGAAGUGUCAUAUAGUAGCGGACGGGUGAGUAAUGCAUGAGAAGCUGCCAUUGGGAGGGGGACAACAGUUGGAAACGGCUGCUAAUACCCCGUAUGCCGGAGGGUGAAAGGGAGUAAUCCGCCCAAUGAGGUGCUCAUGUCCUAUCAGCUGGUUGGUGGGGUAACGGCCUACCAAGGCGACGACGGGUAGCCGGCCUGAGAGGGUGAACGGCCACACUGGAACUGAGAUACGGUCCAGACUCCUACGGGAGGCAGCAGUGGGGAAUAUUUGGGCAAUGGGGGCAACCCUGACCCAGCGACGCCGCGUGGGGGAAGACGGCCUUCGGGUUGUAAACCUCUUUUGUACGGGAAGAAGGAAGUGACGGUACUGUACGAAUAAGUCCCGGCUAACUACGUGCCAGCCGCCGC